AAGAAUAUAGUUAACUAUAACAUUUGAUUUGCAAUCAAAAAGUAUUGAUAUCCAAUUUUUCUUA
RNAcentral lists this transfer RNA (64 nucleotides) under Polypsocus corruptus. RNAcentral describes it as "tRNA-Ala". It matches the Rfam family "tRNA". From Rfam's summary of the family: Transfer RNA (tRNA) molecules are approximately 80 nucleotides in length. Lineage: Eukaryota; Metazoa; Arthropoda; Insecta; Psocodea; Amphipsocidae. The record is from RNAcentral.